AGUGAACGCUGGCGGUAGGCCUAACACAUGCAAGUCGAACGGCAGCACAGUAAGAGCUUGCUCGUACGGGUGGCGAGUGGCGGACGGGUGAGGAAUACAUCGGAAUCUACUUUUUCGUGGGGGAUAACGUAGGGAAACUUACGCAAAUACCGCAUACGACCUACGGGUGAAAGCAGGGGAUCUUCGGACCUUGCGCGAUUGAAUGAGCCGAUGUCGGAUUAGCUAGUUGGCGGGGUAAAGGCCCACCAAGGCGACGAUCCGUAGCUGGUCUGAGAGGAUGAUCAGCCACACUGGAACUGAGACACGGUCCAGACUCCUACGGGAGGCAGCAGUGGGGAAUAUUGGACAAUGGGCGCAAGCCUGAUCCAGCCAUACCGCGUGGGUGAAGAAGGCCUUCGGGUUGUAAAGCCCUUUUGUUGGGAAAGAAAAGCAGCAGGUUAAUACCCCGCUGUUCUGACGGUACCCAAAGAAUAAGCACCGGCUAACUUCGUG
RNAcentral lists this ribosomal RNA (492 nucleotides) under uncultured bacterium. RNAcentral's name for it is "partial 16S ribosomal RNA". It matches the Rfam family "Bacterial small subunit ribosomal RNA", at positions 29 to 507 of the family's 1533-position model. The record is from RNAcentral.